This is a long non-coding RNA of Alligator mississippiensis (American alligator), 5632 nucleotides long. RefSeq lists it as uncharacterized. The transcript is spliced from 2 exons. The record is from RefSeq and is a predicted model, not a curated record. NCBI's taxonomy places the organism in Eukaryota, Metazoa, Chordata, Crocodylia, Alligatoridae.
CUUCCCAGUCUCCUCGGGGUGGUCCCUUCAGCGCGCGCAAGCUCGGUUUGUCGUUUGGUUCCGCGCAUGCGCUGUGCUGCGAAGUCCGUUAGAAUGUGCGGGCGUCUUGUCGUUUUCCCGCCCAAAAGCUGCUGAGUCGCUCGUCUCGGGGUGGAGGAGCUUUCACUGCUACCCUGAGAGGCAGAAAGACACCCCCCCGCCCUCCCUAGAGCCUUACUAUCCAGUUUAUAGGUGUUACAGUAUAAACACCUGGUCAUGCUCCACAUGUAGCUAGAUCAUGCGCCAGUGCAGGGGUAGCGGGGCACCGUUGUGCGGGGCUGAGGUACCCACCUGCCGCGUGCUCAUCUUUGAAACGUCGGUGCUUUGUGCCAAAGACCCUUGCGCUAUUGGGGCGUGAAUACUUUGCAGCGUAAAACGAGCAUGUAUCUGCAUCGGAUGGCUUCGGGGUUGGAAACGCUGGUGCCGGGUGUCUCAGCAGGGGCUGAACUUCCCCGCGGGAGAGCGGUCAGGAACUCCGGCGGGCCGCCUGACCGUGGCAAUCGCAUUGUGACGCAGGGUAAAGCUGACGUUUCGGGUCCCCAGGGUGAUUUCACGACGCCAAUGCUGGCCUUCUGGUAAGAACAAGUACGUGAGGGUCAUAACCCUGCGCUCUCCGUUGCUGGCUCACCGUGGGACUCCGACAAGCCUGUUAAUGGCCGUAUGUCUUACUUCCCACGUGGAAAACAGCGAUAAUAAAUUGUACCAUUAAUCCUACAAUGACUUUUACAGCACGUGGCGUAUUGCUUGCUUAUAGUGCUUUAAAGAAAUUAAUAAAUUAUAAGAUGCUUAUUAUUAAGUUGGCCUGUCUAUAGUAGCUGACUUAAUGAAGCACUCGUUACAGAAGCAUCUGGUCGUUCAGGUCGUGAUUGACAUGGUAAUGUAUAAUUCACUUAACAAACAAAUGCAGAAGUUAUUACUUCAGGUUUUCAUAGUCCUGAAAUACCAUUCUUCCAGCAACAGAUGCUCCCGUUUCAUUUCCUGACUUUUCUGUUGGAUCAUUUUAAGUGCUAGAAUACAAGUGAAACCAGAGCAGCUACAAACAUGCGCUCCCACUCUCUUAUUCCCACGUUACUUCAAAUGCAAUGAAAUGUUGGAAAUCGUAUCAGUGCCGUAGCUGACCUGGAAAAGGAGGCUGUAUACUUCAUCUUCCUAAACAGAAGUAAAGAAUCAUGAUGGUUAUUGUGUCCGAGCAAAGCACUGAAUCACAUUAGUAGCCUUUGAAAUGUAACUUGUAAGUUACACCACAGCUGUUUCCCUUUCAGGGGCUAUCCUAUCUAGAAGUGGACAUUUGUGCUGAGUAUGAUUUGGAACAAAUAUAUAUUAAAAUCCUAUUCACACACAUAUGCACACGAGUUUCUUUAGAAGAACCUGAAAUAGGCGGUGCAAAAGCAGGCAAGAUUAAAUUUACACUCUGAAUACACUGUAACAGCUGUGUAAUACCAAACUGUUUUCUAGUUCAGUGGUUCUCAACCUUUUUUGUACCAGGAUCCAUUUGUAAACAUCAACGACUAGUCCCAACCCAGUGCUCCUUACUUGUGACCUGCUGCCCUGAGCCCCCCAUUGUGUGUGUGGGGGGGGGGGGACGGGGGGGGCCCAAGCAGCAAACUGCCAGCCUGCAAGGGAAAGGCCACGGUUUCCCAUGUUUUUCUCCUGUAAAGGAGAAUCCAUUUUCAAAGUUCAUUCAUGACCCUUUCAUAUAUUCUUGCGACUCACUUUGGGGUCACAACCCACAGGUUGAGAAACGCUGUUCUAGUUGGUACAUCAAAGUUUACUCUUAGAAAAUUGUAUGAAACACUGAAGUUGCCACAUAAAAUUUGAUCUUUAGCAUAUAUACAUGUUCUUGGGGUAAUUACAUUCUUUUCCCAAAACCCUGUGGAAUUGGGAGCUAAUAGAAACAGUUCAGAGCAAGAUAGAUCUUGUCUCUUUAGUGCUCAUAAUUACAAGGUGUGGUAAUGCAGAAGGUAGGACAGGGUGGCAUCACUAACUGAUUCAGAAGCAUGAGCUUUCAUAGGCAACAGCCUCUGGCGAACUAUGAAGACUUAUGCCUCUUUGAGCCAGUUAGUCUCUGAGGUGCUACCCUGCCCUACCAUCUACCUGACUUCAGACUAACAGCAAAUUACCAAGGCAGAAAUGUAAACAUUGUCAUGAAGUGUUCUCUGUAAUUUCACUUGACUUUGAGGGAGGGUGGAUCCACCAUCCUUUCAAAACAAGUAUUUUCAAUAGAUAAAUGAUAACUAAUAUCCCAGAGAGGAAGACACGAUUCUUAGCAUAAACAAGGGCCUCCGGUUCCUAAAAUCUUGAAGUAAAACACUGAACAAAGGACUUGUAUGGAACCUCAUAUCUCAGCAGCAGUGGAAUGUGCCAUGAUUAGUUCAGCUGUAUAGCUGGCAAUGUUAAAUAAUUUGGACAUUGCAGUACAGGCAGUCCUCAGACUUACGAGACAAUUGGUUCCUGAAAACCACGUCUUAAGCUGAAAUGUUGUAACUUGGAACCGAUUUUCCCAUAGGAAACAAUGUUAUAAAUGGGGGAUUGGUUCCUGAACCAAGGCCCGAUACUCUUAUUUUCACCAAAAAUAACCCAGAAUUUGAACACAAUCAAUUAUAGAUGAGUAAUACAUCAAUGUAUUUAUAUUGUAAAUAGCAAUCAUAUUGAUUUGGAAGGACUUCUUUGAGGAGACUUUGCUAGGCAGUUUGAAGGACUCUUGGUUGGAGUUUUUGAAGCGUUCUUGGCUAGAGUCUCAGCUGCAGUUUUUUCUGGAAUCUUGUCUGCCUUCUUCAAGAAAGUGUCCAAGGAAGUUUGGACAGCUGUUCUCCAGGGAGAUGGGUGAUGCAGCAAACUUGUUCACUGGUGUGACUUGGCAUCAGAUCAAGUGUAAAAUCGAAACUGAUGUCAUAAAGUUGAAACAGGGUGUCAAUUUAUAAACGUAAGUGCAAAAUGUUGUAACUCGAAACAUUGUAAGUCGAGGACUGCCUGUACAUUUGCUUUUAGAUUGUUUUAUAGAAGCUUAGGUGCAACAUGUUAGAAACAAUUUCAGUUAUCACUGUUUUGAGGGUAUACUACAUUCCCUAUAAUUUUGUUUCCUUUUGUGUAGCGGAACCUGUAUUUGCUGACCUUUACUUUGAGAUAGUAAAUUGAAUAGAUUGUGAGUUGUGUUGUGGAAGAAGAUUAAUUUGUAGUAACUUGGGAACACUUAUGUAGAUAUUAAAACAAUGUAUUUUUAUGUACUAAAAAUCAUCAGUGCUUUCUUAGGUGGGUGCUUUAAUUGAAUAAAAAAAAAAAUACAUUUUAUGUCAUUGUGAGUCUAAACCAACAUAUUAUACAUUUUUGUCACAGGCGUUACAAAUUACAGUGAUUACAAUUCUAUUUAAUGACAAAAAUAUUUUUAGUUCGAUUAGUUUAGAAAGUGUCAAAUCUCUUGUAUAAUUCAUUUUUCAGCUGUAGCUUUGUUUGUUAAAGCAUUGUGGUUUUCUGGGAAUGUACUGUUAGAACAUUAAUAUCCUUUUGUUAUAUUUCCUCGUCUAGCUAGCAGCAGUUACUGAGCAACUUACAAACAUUACCUUUUUGAGCUCUUGAAUAGUUUCAUGCAGCACACAGCUUUAAAAUAACUUUCUUCCCAAGUUCUGGCAAAUGGCCUGAAUCUAUUCUGGGGAUCUUGUAUACAUGUGUAACUCCUCCUGAACUCAAAAGCUUUAGAGCUUAUUCAUACAAAUACAGCAUGCCUCAGUUACUGGCAUUGCUGUGCCAGUACAACUCCUCUUGCAGACGCUCUGAUUUCAGAAUAAGGAUGCUUUUUCCUUAUCUAGAUUAUUUUGCAUUCAGAGUAUACGAGGUAAGCCAGAAAAAGCACUCUAGUUCUAAGCUAAGGGUGUCCACAUGAUGAGGUCUAGCAGUAAGCUAUGUUGGUAGUUUUCCCUGCAUAGAGGAGAUCAGAUUCUGUUCCCAGUCAAGUCGCUUGAAAAACUUCCACUAACCUCAAUGUAGAGUAGGGCUGCUAGUAUAUAUAAUAGAAUCCAUUUACCUGGAAACCUGAAAAAUGGCAUGACUACCAACGAACAUUUUAGUGAGAAAACAAAAGGUCUGGUGGUGUCACAGUACAUGCCAUAUAGGUCAAUUCAAUGUCAAUAAUAAAGUAGGAUGAAUGAUAAUGCUUUUUUUAAAAGAAGCUGAACUUUGCAAAGAUGAUCAGUUGAGAGUAACAGGUGUUAGGAAACCUACUUCCCAUCUUCAAUUCCAUGCAUUUUAUGCCUCAACCUAGACAGUAAACAGUGAUCUAAUCUGAAAACAGGAUUUUCCAGUCAUGCUAAUCAGGACUAUUACAAGGAUGCUUCAUUAUUUUUAGAUCUGGAAAAUAUCAUGAAUUGCCUAAUUUUUGGUUUAAUUUCUUUUGGUCUUGAACACUUAACUGUGUUUGCAAUUCCUUUUUUAUGUUGGUUAACAAGUCAUUUAUAUUGUUUAAUUGCUGAGUAGGUGCAAUAUGCUUUCCAGCUCUUAACAUGCUUCUGCUUAUAUUACUCUUACAGAUACAGCUGUGCAUAACAACCAUAAAUGUCUGAUUCCUCCUUGCUGGAUAAGAAGUAGAUGGCAGAUUUUUGUUGAGGAUUCUAUUUUACCAGAAGGUCUCCUGCCCUGUGGACAGAUGCCCUAACCCAUAAGCUGUCAUGCUAAACCAUGGAAGGGAGUUCCACCAGCAUCUAACAGGUGCUAGUCAUUGGUUUUUGUUUGGCUACAAUUUCAGGGCAUAUGUUGCCUUACAUGCCUACCUGGGUGAGGAUAUGGUACUACCUACCUGCAAGCCAGAGUACAGCCCUGCUGAACGUGCUCCCUGGGUAUGUGCAUAUUUACAUGCCCAGAACUGUAUCAACCUAUGUGUAUGUGUUGAAAACUGUAGUUACAUAGGUGGUAACUGCUAUUUAUGUACAUAAAGUGAAAUGUGAUUUUGUCCCUACUAUUUAAAGACCAUCCUCUUCAUUUCAUACAGGUGACCAAAUGGCGAUCACCUAGCAAUGUAGAUUUGAAAGGCUCUAUAUCCCAUUAACAAGUCCCUGCUAGCAAACCUAUUAGAUUUAUAAACGCGUAUACAGUUCAAUUUUCAUGCUUCUAUUAAGAUACCUCUUAUUUCAGGAGAAGCUCACUCUUGUAGUAAACACUUAGGAAAUUUGAGUUUAAAACCUGGUGUUCUACCUGUGUUGCUUUGGGCAAAUCUCUUCACUUCAUUUAAUCUCUAAAAUGCUUAGAGUAGUACUGAACUAUGUCAUGGGAGGUGGCUGGUCCAAAAUAUAAGUUGAAAUUCCCUGAUGAAAACUGCUGUAAAUGAAAAAUAUUGUUAUAUUUCACAUACCCAACAAGCUGUGACAAAAGUAACUAGACACUUACCAAUAGCUUUCAAGAACUCUUCAUAGUUCUCUUGAGCAUAGACCUGCCAAGUUCCACUGAAUGCCAUUAUGGAUGAUAUGGUGUAGUAUGGGCAGCGAUGCCAGGAAGAGAAUGGAGGACUCUUCUAUCAAAGUGAUGCUAUUUAUACUAAGGGAAAAAUCUAGCUCAUUUCAUGCAAUGAUUUGGUAAUCAUUAACAAUAAAGUAUCAAUUAUUAAUCA